UACGAAGGGGGCUAGCGUUGCUCGGAAUCACUGGGCGUAAAGCGCACGUAGGCGGGUCGUUAAGUCGGGGGUGAAAUCCUGGAGCUCAACUCCAGAACUGCCUUCGAUACUGGCGACCUUGAGUCCGGGAGAGGUGAGUGGAACUCCGAGUGUAGAGGUGAAAUUCGUAGAUAUUCGGAAGAACACCAGUGGCGAAGGCGGCUCACUGGCCCGGUACUGACGCUGAGGUGCGAAAGCGUGGGGAGCAAACAGGG
Molecule: ribosomal RNA, 254 nt
Filed under: uncultured bacterium
Lineage: Bacteria
Description: partial 16S ribosomal RNA
Rfam family: Bacterial small subunit ribosomal RNA
Source: RNAcentral